Long non-coding RNA from Coregonus clupeaformis (lake whitefish), 1060 nucleotides. RefSeq lists it as uncharacterized. Lineage: Eukaryota; Metazoa; Chordata; Actinopteri; Salmoniformes; Salmonidae. The record is from RefSeq and is a predicted model, not a curated record. The transcript is spliced from 2 exons.
UGUAGAUUGAUGAGGGGGGAAAAACAAUUUAAUCAAUUUUAGAAUAAGGCUGUAAUGUAACAAUGUGGGAAAAAGUCAACUAGUUUGAAUACUUUUACGAAUGCACUGUACAUUUUCUAGACAGCAGUCUUCACCUCCAUAGCAACUACAGAGCACUAGGAGGCAAUGUCUUCACUCCAAAAGGUCUCAAAUAACUUAGGUCUAAAUGUCCAUUAUCCACAAGUAAUAGGACUACUCCUUUAGAUUAUUUUGUUUUGAGCAGUGUAGGACUGCUGUUUGUAUUUUGCCCAGAUGCUAUUGAAACAAAGUUAAUAGCUAAGUCUGCUUGUUAGCGCAGAUCUGUUAUUUUUGCUUUAGGUAAUGUUGCAUUAAAAAAAAAUAAAAUAAUGAUUGAAGUGUUAUUAAUAUGGGACCCCAUGUUUGACUUACUAGCCAUGUAGUCAAUUGCAGUGAACUUGAUUUAAUCAUUCUUCGGCAUCUAAUUAGUUAAAAGGCAACUAUAGUUAUUGCCCAUGAGUACAAUUGUAUUUUCUUCCACAGAAUGGAUAGAUGACACAUUCUUCCUCAUAAAUCCUGCUGGUUGAUGAGGAUCUCAAGGGAUUGAUUGGACCAAAAUGAGGACAAGUUUCUAUAAGGAAGGAAACCAUGUUUGGCACUGGGACGACUGGUGUGACCCCAGACUGUGCUGAUCCAGCUUCAGUGGUCCUGUCAUUACAGGAUGAAGGAUGUCUGAAAAAUGCGGAGGUUUUGAAGGACCUCUUUGGCCUAAUAUCCACCUGUUAGAAAGGUUGAAACUUUCACUGAAUCAUUAAGAUAUGUAGUCUUGUUUUCUAUUCCAGUAUGUAUAAUAUGCAAUUUAGCAGACGCUUUUAUCCAAAGCGACUUAGUCAUGUGUGCAUACAUUUUUACGUAUGGGUGGUCCCGGGGAUCGAACCCACUACCCUGGCGUUACAAACGCCAUGCUCUACAAAUUGAGCUACAGAGAAUCAAUGUACCCUGCUUGUUCUGUACUGUGAUAGUUAUUUGUGGAUUUAAUAAAUAUCUAUUUGUUUUAAACCUA